GUACACCCUCAGAUCUUGUUCCUGUCACUCUAUCCUGCUGGAGGUGCUGAAGAAAGUGCGCUCUCAUGUGCCUUUAGCAUCCUAUACAGUACUGCAGCCCAGCAAGCAGAAGAGCAGCUCUGCUGGCCUUGGCAAACAGCUCCCCAUCUGCCAGAGCUUUCUGAGAUUGCAGAAGUUCAGAAAAUAUCCCAUGUCUGCAGCAUGGCAUCAUCCAUACCCACAGCUUGGUGUUCACAUUUUUGUUACGGUGAGUAGCACUGGUGAGGGAUAUCAGAGGGAAAGANNNNNNNNNNNNNNNNNNNNNNNNNNNNNNNGGAAAAAAAUUGUUGAUAAAUGGUCUCUUCCUAAGCAGACAGAGUGUGCCUGAGUGAAAACCAUAGAGAAAGUCCUUCUGCAAUGGCUAAACUGACAGCGAAGCAUGCUGAGGGUCAGGCCUUCAGUGGGUGAUUCAUGACUCAGGGUGUCACACGGGUUAAAGAUUCUCAUCUGAAGAGGAUUAGGAGUUUCCAAGGAAGCACAAUCCUUCAGGGCCUUCAGCAUUUCCUUGAAGCUUUUGGAGUCUCAGAGCUGCUUCAGACCUGCCUCAUUAUUCUGUCUCAUCACGUGUCCAUCCCAGUUUUGGCAGAAGGCAUGGAGGCAUCUCAUUCAGAUAAACAGAUGGAUUCUGCUUAAAAACCUAUGCUUAAAAGGAGUGCCAGGAUAAGAAAAUAUU
Molecule: long non-coding RNA, 712 nt
Organism: Chrysolophus pictus (golden pheasant)
Lineage: Eukaryota; Metazoa; Chordata; Aves; Galliformes; Phasianidae
Source: Ensembl